RNAcentral lists this small RNA (1607 nucleotides) under Pan troglodytes (chimpanzee). RNAcentral describes it as "processed transcript". The record is from RNAcentral. Lineage: Eukaryota; Metazoa; Chordata; Mammalia; Primates; Hominidae.
AAUGGAUGGUACCGCCAGUGCCAAGGACAGCAAACGCUCUGUGCUGGGCCCGUCGCACAGCAGGACCAAGAACCCAGACUGGAGCUGCUUUUUUUUUUGGAAACAACAGGCUUUCCUCGGGGCACAGCCUGUCACUCGCCUGGAAAAUGGGUGGGCGUGGGCUUCAGGGCGGGGGUCAGGCUGUGUGUGGGAACCAGUGAGCUCCUCCAAGAGCAGCACUUAUUUUUAGUCUUCUCCCCAGUCCCAAGUAAACUGAGAGCAGCUGGGAGCCCUGGGUAAAUGCAGAGUGAAGCAGAGACAGGAAAUCGGGGCUCUCAGUAAUGAGUUCCAGCCACUCCAGAAGGGGGAAGCCAGACAAGGAAUUUUCUUGAGGACUGUUUCCCUCUGGCAGGCUCCGGUAUUAUCACUGAGAAUGGUCCCGUGUGUGUGUGCGUGUGUGUCGUGUUUACAACUUCUGUCCAAGUCUUCUGUCUUUUUUCUCUACCUUUGUGUGACAUUUGAUUUCUCCGCAGGGCUCUGAAUCCCAGUCCUGGUGCGUGUGCGUGCAUGUAUGUGCGCGUGUGUGUGUGUGUGUGUGUGUGUGUGUAUGUGUGUUUGUUGGGGUGGUCGGGGAGGACACUGAAGCAGCACGGUCUGCUCUGUGUCGCUGUGUGUCUGAAACUGUCUAGGGAGAGGCUGAAGGACGCAGGCCAGGGAAGUGGGGGAAUUUGAACACAGCUUGGAGUUCUUGAGUGGGGAGGGGGCAGAGGCAAGGAAGAGGAGAGAACUGGUCUCCAGCCAGGAAAAGGGCUUUUUCCACCAAGGCAUCUAACUGCUGACAUGGGUGCCCAGCAUGGAUGGGGACAUUGAUGUUUACAAGCAUUUCUCGUGGCUGAAGAGGUCCCAGGUAAACCACCACAGUGCUGCUAGUAAUGAAACCUACCAGGAACGCUUGGCACGUCUAGAAGGGGAUAAGGAGUCCCUCAUAUUGCAGGAGCUGCUAAGCCGCACAUCUCUUGAGACCCAGAAGCUCGAUCUGAUGACUGAAGUGUCUGAGCUGAAGCUCAAGCUGGUUGGCAUGGAGAAGGAGCAGAGAGAGCAGGAGGAGAAGCAGAGAAAAGCAGAGCUCACAGUAACACUGUGUGUGUCACCAUAUAACUGCACCUCACCCCCACACGUGUGCAUGACUGGCAGAGAAUAUUCCAGCAAUUGUGUACCCCUGGGCCAGUCUCUCUUUGAACCCUGAGGGUGGCCAGGAUCUGGAGCUGCAUCUCUAAGGGGCCAGGCUUUGGGGACCAUUGCCAAAGGUGGACUCAGGAGGAAAGACACUUAAAGACACUUUUACAUGUCUAGUAAUUCUUGAUGUUCAUCUUCAGCACCAGUGGAAACACAUGAACUUCGAUGCAGGUCCAGAGACCAUGGACACUCCCACGAGGCUCAGCUCUCAGGCACCCCCUACACUUCAGUUGAGGGAAAAGCUCAAGUGCCUUAGGCCCAUGGGCCACAGUCUUGGCUGAGAUCAAAGGGAUGAGCAACAGGGACUUCUGCCACAGUGACAAUGGAAUUGUGCUGUGCCUUACUUCAGAGGUGGUCUCUUCUUUCUUGUAAUAAAAGCAAUAUUUAUGCGG